GAUGAACGCUGGCGGCGUGCCUAAUACAUGCAAGUCGAGCGAACAGACGAGGAGCUUGCUCCUCUGACGUUAGCGGCGGACGGGUGAGUAACACGUGGAUAACCUACCUAUAAGACUGGGAUAACUUCGGGAAACCGGAGCUAAUACCGGAUAAUAUAUUGAACCGCAUGGUUCAAUAGUGAAAGACGGUUUUGCUGUCACUUAUAGAUGGAUCCGCGCCGCAUUAGCUAGUUGGUAAGGUAACGGCUUACCAAGGCAACGAUGCGUAGCCGACCUGAGAGGGUGAUCCGCCACACUGGAACUGAGACACGGUCCAGACUCCUACGGGAGGCAGCAGUAGGGAAUCUUCCGCAAUGGGCGAAAGCUUGACGGAGCAACGCCGCGUGAGUGAUGAAGGUCUUCGGAUCGUAAAACUCUGUUAUUAGGGAAGAACAAAUGUGUAAGUAACCAUGCACGUCUUGACGGUACCUAAUCAGAAAGCCACGGCUAACUACGUG
This 497-nucleotide ribosomal RNA is filed under the name uncultured bacterium. RNAcentral's name for it is "partial 16S ribosomal RNA". It matches the Rfam family "Bacterial small subunit ribosomal RNA", at positions 28 to 507 of the family's 1533-position model. The record is from RNAcentral.